This 118-nucleotide ribosomal RNA is filed under the name Monopterus albus (swamp eel). Lineage: Eukaryota; Metazoa; Chordata; Actinopteri; Synbranchiformes; Synbranchidae. The record is from RNAcentral.
UUCUGCAGCCACACCAUUCUGGUGCACCAGAUCUUGUCUGUUCUCUGAAGCUGAGCAGGGCUGGGUCUGGUCGUUACCUGGAUGAGAAACUACCUGGGAGCACCAAGUGCUAUAGUCU